This 597-nucleotide ribosomal RNA is filed under the name Salmonella enterica. RNAcentral's name for it is "partial 23S ribosomal RNA". It matches the Rfam family "Bacterial large subunit ribosomal RNA", at positions 592 to 1190 of the family's 2925-position model. Lineage: Bacteria; Pseudomonadati; Pseudomonadota; Gammaproteobacteria; Enterobacterales; Enterobacteriaceae. RNAcentral also lists the same sequence under 1 other name. The record is from RNAcentral.
UGUGACUGCGUACCUUUUGUAUAAUGGGUCAGCGACUUAUAUUCUGUAGCAAGGUUAACCGUAUAGGGGAGCCGCAGGGAAACCGAGUCUUAACCGGGCGUUAAGUUGCAGGGUAUAGACCCGAAACCCGGUGAUCUAGCCAUGGGCAGGUUGAAGGUUGGGUAACACUAACUGGAGGACCGAACCGACUAAUGUUGAAAAAUUAGCGGAUGACCUGUGGCUGGGGGUGAAAGGCCAAUCAAACCGGGAGAUAGCUGGUUCUCCCCGAAAGCUAUUUAGGUAGCGCCUCGUGAAUUCAUCUCCGGGGGUAGAGCACUGUUUCGGCUAGGGGGCCAUCCCGGCUUACCAACCCGAUGCAAACUGCGAAUACCGGAGAAUGUUAUCACGGGAGACACACGGCGGGUGCUAACGUCCGUCGUGAAGAGGGAAACAACCCAGACCGCCAGCUAAGGUCCCAAAGUCAUGGUUAAGUGGGAAACGAUGUGGGAAGGCCCAGACAGCCAGGAUGUUGGCUUAGAAGCAGCCAUCAUUUAAAGAAAGCGUAAUAGCUCACUGGUCGAGUCGGCCUGCGCGGAAGAUGUAACGGGGCUAAACCAU